This 422-nucleotide ribosomal RNA is filed under the name uncultured bacterium. RNAcentral's name for it is "partial 16S ribosomal RNA". It matches the Rfam family "Bacterial small subunit ribosomal RNA", at positions 359 to 773 of the family's 1533-position model. The record is from RNAcentral.
GAAUAUUGGACAAUGGGGGCAACCCUGAUCCAGCCAUGCCGCGUGUGUGAAGAAGGCCUUCUGGUUGUAAAGCACUUUAAGCAGUGAAGAAUACUCCAUGGUUAAUACCCAUUGACGAUGACAUUAGCUGCAGAAUAAGCUCCGGCUAACUCUGUGCCCGCAGCCGUGGUAAUACAGAGGUUGCAAGCGCUAAUCGGAAUUACCGGGCGUAAAGCGAGCGUAGGUGGCUUGAUAAGUCAGAUGUGAAAUCCCCGGGCUUAACCUGGGAACUGCAUCUGAUACUGUUAGGCUAGAAUAGGUGAGAGGAAGGUAGAAUUCCAGGUGUAGCGGUGAAAUGCGUAGAGAUCUGGAGGAAUACCGAUGGCGAAGGCAGCCUUCUGGCAUCAUAUUGACACUGAGGUUCGAAAGCGUGGGUAGCAAAC